UAUCUUAAAAUCUUGUUGGAGUUGCUUCAGAACCCUAAACCCUAAUUCUUCUGUUUCCGGUACCAAAUCGAUCAAAUCCACGGAGCAGUAGCGGCGGAAAUGGCGUCGCUGGCCUUGUCCGGGAUCGGCUUGUUGCAUCUCCGUAAAAGUCCUCAUUCCGUCGCCAAAGUUCCAGCAGCUAUUAGAUGUAGUAAGUUGUCGGAGUCGUUGAAGUACAAAGACAAUGGGAAAUCGACAGCUGUUGGCCGCGACUACAACGGCCAAGCAGCGUUGCCCGACGUCUUCCUCGAAAGAAUUCCUGCUCAAAAAAGCGACACGAGGCUGCGUAUUUUCUCUGGCACUGCAAAUAUACCUCUGGCUCAGGAAAUUGCUUGUUAUAUGGGUCUGGAGCUUGGUAAUAUUAAGAUCAAACGAUUUGCUGAUGGGGAGAUUUAUGUUCAAUUGCAAGAGAGUGUUCGUGGGUGUGACGUUUAUCUUGUGCAACCUACGUGUCCUCCCGCAAAUGAAAAUCUUAUGGAACUGUUGAUAAUGAUUGACGCUUGCCGCCGUGCAUCAGCCAAAAAUAUCACUACCGUUAUCCCAUACUUUGGAUAUGCUCGUGCAGAUCGGAAGACUCAAGGGCGUGAAUCAAUUGCUGCAAAGCUUGUGGCCAAUUUAAUUACUGAAGCUGGUGCGGACAGGGUUCUGGCGUGCGACCUCCAUUCUGGACAGUCGAUUGGAUAUUUUGAUAUUCCGGUGGAUCAUGUACAUGGUCAGCCUGUCAUACUUGAUUAUCUUGCAAGCAAGACAAUAUCUUCGGAUGAUUUGGUUGUGGUCUCACCGGAUGUUGGUGGGGUUGCUAGAGCUAGAGCUUUUGCCAAAAAGUUGUCGGAUGCUCCUUUGGCCAUUGUAGAUAAAAGACGUCAGGGUCAUAAUGUUGCUGAGGUAAUGAAUUUGAUCGGUGAUGUCCGUGGCAAGGUUGCAGUAAUGGUAGAUGAUAUGAUCGAUACUGCUGGGACUAUUUCGAAAGGAGCUGCUCUGUUACAUCAAGAAGGUGCAAGGGAGGUAUAUGCUUGCAGCACUCAUGCCGUGUUUAGUCCUCCGGCGAUAGAGAGAUUGUCGAGCGGGCUAUUUCAAGAGGUCAUCAUAACAAACACCAUUCCGGUGGCGGAGAAGAAUUACUUCCCGCAGCUCACGAUCUUGUCCAUGGCGAACCUUCUUGGCGAAACUAUAUGGCGCGUGCACGAUGAUUGUGCUGGUGGAUUCGAGCCGUAUUCGAGCUUGGGCAUUGACUGACGUCGAUAUCGACGAGUUUCCGACUCUAUUAUGGUCACACAACACAGCAUACAUGGAAAGAUAUGGAAUCAGGAACAGGAACAGGAACAGAAAUAGGAAUGUCCUUAACUGACAGAGCAAACAUGCCUGAAAGCUGUUCGACUUUAUUUAUCAGAAGCUUCAAUAAUGGCACCUUCGACGAAGUCCCACAACAUCCCACCAUUAUCAG
RNA transcript from Andrographis paniculata, 1483 nucleotides. It is a transcript of the gene named ribose-phosphate pyrophosphokinase 1, with no coding region annotated. The transcript has 10 exons. Lineage: Eukaryota; Viridiplantae; Streptophyta; Magnoliopsida; Lamiales; Acanthaceae. The record is from RefSeq and is a predicted model, not a curated record.